CAGGCCUAACACAUGCAAGUCGAACGUGAUCCAGGCUUCGGCCUGGUGAAAGUGGCAGACGGGUGAGUAACGCGUGGGAACCUGCCCUGUGGUAGGGAAUAACCGUGGGAAACUGCGGCUAAUACCCUAUGAGUCCUUCGGGAGAAAGAUUUAUCGCCAUAGGAGGGGCCCGCGUCGGAUUAGGUAGUUGGUGGGGUAACGGCCUACCAAGCCUUCGAUCCGUAGCUGGUCUGAGAGGAUGAUCAGCCACACUGGGACUGAGAUACGGCCCAGACUCCUACGGGAGGCAGCAGUGGGGAAUAUUGGACAAUGGGGGCAACCCUGAUCCAGCAAUGCCGCGUGGAUGAUGAAGGCCUUCGGGUUGUAAAGUCCUUUCGGCGGGGAAGAUGAUGACGGUACCCGCAGAAGAAGCCCCGGCUAACUUCGUGCCAGCAGCCGCGGUAAUAC
RNAcentral lists this ribosomal RNA (447 nucleotides) under uncultured Alphaproteobacteria bacterium. RNAcentral's name for it is "bacterial SSU rRNA". It matches the Rfam family "Bacterial small subunit ribosomal RNA", at positions 43 to 526 of the family's 1533-position model. Lineage: Bacteria; Pseudomonadati; Pseudomonadota; Alphaproteobacteria. The record is from RNAcentral.